CUUCACCUUUGGGAAUACCAUCAAUUUUACCCCACAUGUGGAUUUAGCAAGUCCAGCAGGCUGCGGUACAAGAACAAAACGAAGAAAGCGUCUGGCAGCUCCGUCCGUCUCCGCCGGAGUCCGCCCUCCAGUCACUCCACUCUCGGCAGCUUCUCGGGGUCCACCUCACCUCCACUUCCUCUGGGCUCUGACCUUGUGAAGCCUGGACGGUGCACACUGGGAAGGAAGCCACGCUGUGCACUGCCGGCGGUGACGGUAAUAAGGUGGCGAUGCUUGCUGGUGGACGCGAGGGCCGAGGAGGAAGAGGGAGGAGAAGGGGCGAGCAGCGGCCAGCUGUGCUGUCAGCCUGUCAGGUGCCAGCUGAUCCCAGACCGAGUCCCAGUAAGGAUGACGCGUGCAUCCCUAUGCCUUAUGUUUUCCGCCCUUCUCGCCGCCUCACCUGUCAUGCAGCCCCAUGACUCGCCACACAGGGACAUCAGGUUUCAGUCAUAAAGUCUGUGGUGGAUCAUGUGAGCAAGGAUGGAGGACGGCUAGGCAGACUGGGUGGUCUCUGCCGUCAGCCUAAUAGUAUCCACAUCACUCCACUCUCCAUUUCCACCAAGGGAGGCAGUGCACCACAUCUCACACAGGACGUGCUGCACCGGUGGCGUGGCAUUGAGGGAAGCGUCUCUUUGUAUCCCUGCCCACUACUUCAUUGAACACAUGAAGGAGCUCCAGAGUUUCAAGAAAGGAGUGACACACACACUUUGCUGCACUCCAAGCUUUUGGAGGUCCAGCAGCACACUGCACACUGCUUUCAUAAAACGUGUGUGCCGAGUGCAAGACAGAGUGGCAAGGAUGGAGGAUGCUUCAACAUUGACAGCAUCAUUGCUUCAUGCUUUCUUUUUUUGUGAAAAGUAGUGCACGCAGUUUUAACCAAAAGAGUAACGGUUUAUGAGAUUUACCAGAUUUGUAAUGUAUAAAAAGUGAUAUUGCAUUAUGAAGAUUUGUUUUAAGGUUUUUGUUUAUUAGCAUGUUCUAGUUGUGUCACUCUUAACAGUCCAGAUUGUACAGACAUGAACCCUUGUCCAUUGCACUUCCUGCAGGUGGAAUUUCUGUCAGCACUAAGGUGUGUGUGUGUGUGUGCAGCUUGUGGGCAAGUGUGCCAGUCAUUCCUUGAUGUCAGUGUCUUUCAUUUAGGGAAAAAUGUUGUGUAUAAUUAGGUUUAUGUACAUUUUUGAGUGAGAAUGUUGCAUUGCUGUGACUUGUUCUGUGUGAGAUUUCAGGGGCCGUAUUCUCCACACCAUCAUAGUUAGUGAUGUGAUCAUAUACAGACAAAAUGGUGUAUUUUAGACACAAGUUCCUCUGUGACAGGCUCUAACCUUGUGACUCAUUAUAAGUGCCAAGACAGACUAAAGUGUAUUCUAGACACAAGUCCCUCUGUGACUCUUCAUGAGUGGCAAGACAAGGUUCAGUCUGUUGUAGUGCUGCCAACCACCAUCUUAAAACCCUUGUCAACAUGGUGGGAGCUUGGCUGUAUGUACCAUGGCAUGAUCCCCGACAGUUUUUAAUAUUGAUUAAUGAUAAAUAUCCAUAAUUAUUAAAUAAUGGCCUUCUUUGAUGCAGUAAUUUACCAUUAUAUAUAACUGCCGAGAGGGGUACCUACUGUCAGUUUUCCCAAAACUCAAACAAACUUUGCUGUGUGUGUGGCCUGCAUGUGUCAUGUGUUGGGCUGUCGGGCAUAAUCUUCUGUUUGUCAUGUUUGUUUUGUUUGGAUACACAGUCUAACUAUUCCCAAAGUAGUUAUAUGAUGUCAAAAUAAUUUGAAUUGUAGAAAAUUACAUCAAGGAGGUAUUUCUUUGUAUACACACAUAAAGUUGACAAGUAAUGAGCCUAAAGAUCAACAGUGGAGUGACGGUGAGGCAUUGAGUGAGACCUGAGGCUGACUGUGUAGAAUGCGGCCCCAGAAUGAUGUGUGUUUUGUAUGUUAAUGGUGACAACAUGCUGUUUGAGAGCAAUGCCAUUGUGAAAUGCUUCAUUAAUACAGAGUUGAUAGUUCCUCCUAGACUUUUGCAAUGAAAUGCUCUCAAAAUUAUUUUAGAACUUGUAGUCUUGUGCAAUGAAAGUGCUCUCAAAAUACUACACUUAUGUUCUUAUAUUCAUUUUGUUUAUGUUAUAUUAGACAAAUGUAUGGAUGGCAAUGAUAGGUGGAGUGAGGCAGACCUGUUCACUGUUCAUACAGGGACUGCUGCCAUGUAUGUGCAGGCUCAUGGUCCCUCUUGCAACUUUCCUCAUUUUUGUUUCUCCAAUACUUUUGAAAUAAUUUUGCAAGUUGAAAAUAUUCACAGAGUAAUGUAAUAUCUGAAAAAAUUGUGAAGUUCAAAAUUUUAAAAAAUUGUACAAAUUCUGCUGUUCCAGUGUAAAAAUUGUACAAAUUGUGCUGUUCCAGUGUAAAAAUUAUUCUAAGUUGAAAAUUGUAAAAAUUUUCUUGUGUACAAAUUGUGGUAUUCCACUGUGAAAAGUGUAAAAAUUGUACAAAUUGUGCUGUUCCAGUGUAAAAAUUAUUCUAAGUUGAAAAUUGUAAAAAUGUUCUAGUGUACAAAUUGUGGUAUUCCACUGUGAAAAUUCUAAGUUGAAAAUUUUGGUAGAGUUUUCAGGGACUUGUGUAAAAAUGUGUUCACUGAAUAAAAGUGAAGGAA
This is a long non-coding RNA of Portunus trituberculatus (swimming crab), 2678 nucleotides long. RefSeq lists it as uncharacterized. The transcript has 4 exons. The record is from RefSeq and is a predicted model, not a curated record. NCBI's taxonomy places the organism in Eukaryota, Metazoa, Arthropoda, Malacostraca, Decapoda, Portunidae.